This 253-nucleotide ribosomal RNA is filed under the name uncultured bacterium. Its description in RNAcentral is "partial 16S ribosomal RNA". It matches the Rfam family "Bacterial small subunit ribosomal RNA", at positions 524 to 776 of the family's 1533-position model. The record is from RNAcentral.
UACGUAGGGGGCUAGCGUUGUCCGGAAUCAUUGGGCGUAAAGCGCGUGUAGGCGGUCCGGUAAGUCCGCUGUGAAAGGCGGGGGCUCAACCCUCGGAUGCCGGUGGAUACUGUCGGGCUUGAGUACGGAAGAGGCGAGUGGAAUUCCUGGUGUAGCGGUGAAAUGUGCAGAUAUCAGGAGGAACACCAAUUGCGAAGGCAGCUCGCUGGGACGUUACUGACGCUGAGACGCGAAAGCGUGGGGAGCAAACAGG